UGGGGAAUAUUGCACAAUGGGCGCAAGCCUGAUGCAGCGACGCCGCGUGAGGGAUGACGGCCUUCGGGUUGUAAACCUCUUUCGACAAGGACGAAGCCUUUUGGGGUGACGGUACUUGUAGAAGAAGCACCGGCUAACUACGUGCCAGCAGCCGCGGUAAUACGUAGGGUGCGAGCGUUGUCCGGAAUUAUUGGGCGUAAAGAGCUCGUAGGCGGUUUGUUGCGUCUAUCGUGAAAACUGGAGGCUUAACUUUCAGCUUGCGGUGGAUACGGGCAGACUUGAGUUCGGUAGGGGAGACUGGAAUUCCUGGUGUAGCGGUGAAAUGCGCAGAUAUCAGGAGGAACACCGGUGGCGAAGGCGGGUCUCUGGGCCGAUACUGACGCUGAGGAGCGAAAGCGUGGGGAGCGAACAGG
Molecule: ribosomal RNA, 413 nt
Filed under: uncultured bacterium
Lineage: Bacteria
Description: bacterial SSU rRNA
Rfam family: Bacterial small subunit ribosomal RNA
Source: RNAcentral